Molecule: ribosomal RNA, 253 nt
Filed under: uncultured bacterium
Lineage: Bacteria
Description: partial 16S ribosomal RNA
Rfam family: Bacterial small subunit ribosomal RNA
Source: RNAcentral
UACGAAGGGGGCUAGCGUUGUUCGGAAUCACUGGGCGUAAAGGGCGCGUAGGCGGCCGAUCAAGUCGGGGGUGAAAGCCUGUGGCUCAACCACAGAAUUGCCUUCGAUACUGUUUGGCUUGAGACCGGAAGAGGUUAGUGGAACUGCGAGUGUAGAGGUGAAAUUCGUAGAUAUUCGCAAGAACACCAGUGGCGAAGGCGGCUGACUGGUCCGGUUCUGACGCUGAGGCACGAAAGCGUGGGGAGCAAACAGG